RNAcentral lists this non-coding RNA (948 nucleotides) under Grammomys dolichurus (South African thicket rat). The record is from RNAcentral. Lineage: Eukaryota; Metazoa; Chordata; Mammalia; Rodentia; Muridae.
CAAAGGUUCGGUCCUGGCCUUAUAAUUAAUUGGAGGUAAGAUUACACAUGCAAACAUCCAUGCACCGGUGUAAAAUCCCUUAGAUAUUUAAAACAAAGUUUAAGGAGAAGGUAUCAAGCACAUUUUAUAGCUCAAAACACCUUGCCUAGCCACACCCCCACGGGACUCAGCAGUGAUAAAUAUUAAGCAAUAAACGAAAGUUUGACUAAGCUAUACCUCUUAGGGUUGGUAAAUUUCGUGCCAGCCACCGCGGUCAUACGAUUAACCCAAAUUAAUUAUUCUCGGCGUAAAACGUGGUAACUAUAACUAAAACAAUAGAAUUAAAACCCAACUAAUAUGUGAAAAUUCAUUGUUAGGACCUAAAAACAAUAACGAAGGUAAUUCUAAUUUUACUUACACGAUAGCUAAGAUCCAAACUGGGAUUAGAUACCCCACUAUGCUUAGCCCUAAACUUAAAUAAUUCAAUAACAAAAAUAUUUGCCAGAGAACUACUGGCCACAGCUUAAAACUCAAAGGACCUGGCGGUACUUUAUAUCCAUCUAGAGGAGCCUGUUCUAUAAUCGACACCCCCCGCUAUACCUCACCAUCUCUUGCUAAUUCAGCCUAUAUACCGCCAUCUUCAGCAAACCCUAAAAAGGCAUAAAAGUAUGCACAAUAAUAAACAUAAGUACGUUAGGUCAAGGUGUAGCCAAUGGGAUGGGAAGAAAUGGGCCACAUUUUCUUUUAUAAGAACACUUACGAAACCCUUUAUGAAACUAAAGGAUAAAGGAGGAUUUAGUAGUAAAUUAAGAAUAGAGUGCUUAAUUGAAUAGUGCAAUGAAGUACGUACACACCGCCCGUCACCCUCCUCAAAUCAAACAAACAUAAUUAUUUAUAUAAUUUAAUAUGUUUAUGAGAGGAGAUAAGUCGUAACAAGGUAAGCCUACUGGAAAGUGUGCUUGGAAUAAC